RNAcentral lists this ribosomal RNA (328 nucleotides) under uncultured eukaryote. Its description in RNAcentral is "partial 18S ribosomal RNA". It matches the Rfam family "Eukaryotic small subunit ribosomal RNA", at positions 1470 to 1796 of the family's 1831-position model. The record is from RNAcentral.
CCCUUAGAUGUCCUGGGCCGCACGCGCGUUACACUGAUGCAUUCAACGAGCUUAUAACCUUGGCCGAGAGGCCUGGGCAAUCUUGUUAACGUGCAUCGUGAUAGGGAUAGAUUAUUGAAAUUAUUAAUCUUGAACGAGGAAUUCCUAGUAAACGCAGAUCAUCAAUCUGCAUUGAUUACGUCCCUGCCCUUUGUACACACCGCCCGUCGUACCUACCGAUUGGAUGGUCCGGUGAAGCCUCGGGAUUGUGGUUCUUGCCGCUUUAUUGUGGCGUGACCGCGAGAACUUGUCUAAACCUUAUCAUCUAGAGGAAGGUGAAGUCGUAACA